AUGAACGCUAGCGACAGGCCUAACACAUGCAAGUCGAGGGGCAGCACAAGGAGCAAUCUGAGGUGGCGACCGGCGCACGGGUGAGUAACACGUAUGCAACCUGCCUGUAAGCGGGGAAUAACCCGUUGAAAGACGGACUAAUACCGCAUAAUACUAAAUUACUGCAUGGUAAUUUAUUUAAACAUUUAUGGCUUACAGAUGGGCAUGCGCAUGAUUAGCUAGUUGGAGAGGUAACGGCUCCCCAAGGCAACGAUCAUUAGGGGUUCUGAGAGGAAGGUCCCCCACACCGGUACUGAGACACGGACCAGACUCCUACGGGAGGCAGCAGUGAGGAAUAUUGGUCAAUGGACGAGAGUCUGAACCAGCCAAGUCGCGUGCAGGAAGAAUGUCCUAAUGGAUUGUAAACUGCUUUUGCAGGGGAAUAAAGUGCAUCACGUGUGAUGUUUUGUAUGUACUCUGCGAAUAAGGAUCGGCUAACUCCGUGCCAGCAGCCGC
This 495-nucleotide ribosomal RNA is filed under the name uncultured bacterium. RNAcentral describes it as "bacterial SSU rRNA". It matches the Rfam family "Bacterial small subunit ribosomal RNA", at positions 29 to 518 of the family's 1533-position model. The record is from RNAcentral.